CUCCCAAGUGAUAGGAUUAAGGGUGUGUGCCACCACUGCCUUUCCUGAAUGUCUAAUCUAGUGGCUGGCUCUGUCCUCUGAUCCUCAGGCAAGUUUAAUAGGGCAGACAAUAUAUCACCAUAUUCCAUCACCUCUUGGCUCUCAUAAGCAUCCUCCUUAUGUCAGCCACAGUCUGAUGGAAGCCUUUGAAAGGAGCCAGAGUAUCUGAUGUCCCAAGAUCUCUGGAAGAAGCCAAGGAACACUCCUAACACUAAGGCAUACUGUAUCUAAAUGUCUUGGAUCACACAGAUCACCUCGAGUGAUUGACCGACACAUCUAGGUGUAUCCAGAGCCAUCUUCCACACCUGAGGAUCCCUGCUCCCUGGUCACCAGUGAAGAUGAUGCUGACUUUGUACUGAAUGGAAGUUUUACAUAAAACAAGCAGAUUCCACAUUCUGGAUUGGGAAACUGGACCACUGUGGAGGGAACAAUGAUUUCUUUAGGAUCUUCACUAUUUCUCAAGUGCUGUGGAGGUGUAAAAUCUUUUAAUAAAUAUGAGGUCCUUCAGCAAAUUAAA
This is a non-coding RNA of Peromyscus maniculatus bairdii (prairie deer mouse), 556 nucleotides long. NCBI's taxonomy places the organism in Eukaryota, Metazoa, Chordata, Mammalia, Rodentia, Cricetidae. The record is from RefSeq and is a predicted model, not a curated record.